CAUGCAAGUCGAGCGGAUCUUAUCCUUCGGGAUAAGAUUAGCGGCGGACGGGUGAGUAACACGUGGGUAACCUGCCUGUAAGACUGGGAUAACAUUCGGAAACGAAUGCUAAUACCGGAUACGCGAUUUGGUCGCAUGAUCGAACCUUGAAAGAUGGAGCAAUCUAUCACUUAUAGAUGGGCCCGCGGCGCAUUAGCUAGUUGGUGAGGUAAUGGCUCACCAAGGCGACGAUGCGUAGCCGACCUGAGAGGGUGAUCGGCCACACUGGGACUGAGACACGGCCCAGACUCCUACGGGAGGCAGCAGUAGGGAAUCUUCCGCAAUGGACGAAAGUCUGACGGAGCAACGCCGCGUGAGCGAAGAAGGUCUUCGGAUCGUAAAGCUCUGUUGUUAGGGAAGAACAAGUACCGUUCGAAUAGGGCGGUACCUUGACGGUACCUAACCAGAAAGCCACGGCUAACUACGUGCCAGCAGCCGCGGUAAUACGUAGGUGGCAAGCGCUAUCCGGAAUUAUUGGGCGUAAAGCGCGCGCAGGCGGUCCUUUAAGUCUGAUGUGAAAGCCCACGGCUCAACCGUGGAGGGUCAUUGGAAACUGGGGGACUUGAGUGCAGAAGAGGAGAGCGGAAUUCCACGUGUAGCGGUGAAAUGCGUAGAGAUGUGGAGGAACACCAGUGGCGAAGGCGGCUCUCUGGUCUGUAACUGACGCUGA
Molecule: ribosomal RNA, 709 nt
Filed under: uncultured bacterium
Lineage: Bacteria
Description: bacterial SSU rRNA
Rfam family: Bacterial small subunit ribosomal RNA
Source: RNAcentral